UGACCUGCCCACUGAUAUAAUAAAAUUUAAUGGCCGCGGUAUUAAUGACCGUGCAAAGGUAGCAUAAUCAUUAGUCUUUUAAUUGUGGACUUGUAUGAAUGGUUGGACAAAAGGGAAACUGUCUUCUUUAAUAAGGAUUGAAUUUAACUUUUAAGUGAAAAGGCUUAAAUAUUUCAAAGGGACGAUAAGACCCUAUAAAGCUUUAUAAAAAAAUAAAAUUUAGGUUUAAGGUAUUUGUCUAUUAAAGAUUAAGGUUUAUAAAUUUAUUGAGUUGGGGCAACAAAAGUAUAAUUAUUAUUUAAUYGCUUAAUAUUAUUUAUACAAAUAUAUUUGUGUUAUUAU
This 342-nucleotide ribosomal RNA is filed under the name Achlidon agrestis. Its description in RNAcentral is "partial 16S ribosomal RNA". The stretch from base 1 to 168 matches the Rfam family "Archaeal large subunit ribosomal RNA", at positions 1949 to 2146 of the family's 2987-position model. The record is from RNAcentral. Lineage: Eukaryota; Metazoa; Arthropoda; Malacostraca; Decapoda; Pseudothelphusidae.